CAAUAGCGUAUAUUAAAGUUGUUGCAGUUAAAAAGCUCGUAGUUGGAUUUCGGAAGGUCCUUAGCAAUCCGCCCCUUCGGGGAGCGGGUUGCUGGCCUCCUAUGUUCCUAACGGUCCUCGUCCGCGAGGGCUGGGGAAUCAACCGCUAGGAUCGUUUACUUUGAGGAAAUUAGAGUGUUCAAAGCAGGCGUAACUCGCCUCCGAAUACGUUAGCAUGGGAUAAUGGAAUACGACUUCGGUCUUGUUUCGUUGGUUUCGCUUGGCUGAAGUAAUGAUUGAUAGGGACAGUUGGGGGCAUUAGUAUUUAGUUGUCAGAGGUGAAAUUCUAGGAUUUACUAAAGACUGACCAAUGCGAAAGCAUUUGCCAAGGAUGUUUUCAUUAAUCAAGAACGAAAGUAGGGGGAUCGAAGACGAUCAGAUACCGUCGUAGUCUCUACCGUAAACUAUGCCGACCAGGGAUCCGGAGAGUUUGCAUGGAUGACUCCCCGGGCACCUUGUGAGAAAUCAUAAGUGUUUGGGUUUUGGGGGGAGUAUGGUCGCAAGGCUGAAACUUAAAGGAAUUGACGGAAGGGCACCACCAGGAGUGGAACCUGCGGCUUAAUUC
Molecule: ribosomal RNA, 604 nt
Filed under: uncultured Vermamoeba
Lineage: Eukaryota; Tubulinea; Elardia; Euamoebida; Hartmannellidae
Description: SSU rRNA
Rfam family: Eukaryotic small subunit ribosomal RNA
Source: RNAcentral